AUGGAGUCUUCUCUGUGCGAUCAGCAUACCGUCUCGCCCUUGACGAGCAAACCCGCACCUCUAUGUGCGCCACGAGCAGGGCACCGGAUGGCCGACGUGCCAUAUGGAAGGCAUUAUGGGGGUGCCCUGCCCCCCCAAAGGUGUCCAAUGGCUGUUGGAUUAUGGGAGGCGAUGGCGAAGGAUUGGGCGAUGCCGCUGCCGAGGAGUAUCGUGAACACAGGGCACGAAUGGCUACUACAUCUACUCGACACAUGCGGCGAAGGCGAGCGGCUCCCACUGCUCAUGACGUUGUGGCGUGCUUGGCACGUCAGGAAUGAGGUGGUGCACUUCAAGCCUGCCCCUCCAAUUGAAGCCUCACGGAGAUUCCUAGUAAGCUACAUCAACUCACUAAUGUGCAUCAAGCAACAUCCAUUGGCGGAUGUCGCAAAAGGAAAAAUGGUGGUCUCCUAUGGCCGAGGCUCUCAAUUGCAUUCAUGGAAGGCCGCUCCUCCAGGUCGUUCGCCAGUGAGAUGGAAACCACCACCUGAUGGCUGGCUUAAACUGAAUGUUGAUGGCGCCUUUUCUGAGUCAGAAGGGAAUGGAGCCAUGAUUGUGCAGCCGGAGGUGAACAGAUCUCCUGCGUCUAAUUUAGUUCAGGAAAUCAAGCACUUGCUAGCUAGAGGUAGAAGUCACAAGGUAGCUGCUAUUAGCCGAGUGCAAAAUAGUGUCAGUCAUAUGCUAGCAAAAAUUGGACGCACCGGCCCUAGAACGGCAGUGUGGUUAAGGUCUGGUCCAGAGGAGAUUGUAAACUUAUGUGCCGCGGAUCAAACUGAUCCGAUUUAA
RNAcentral lists this ribosomal RNA (822 nucleotides) under Triticum aestivum (bread wheat). Its description in RNAcentral is "partial small subunit ribosomal RNA". Lineage: Eukaryota; Viridiplantae; Streptophyta; Magnoliopsida; Poales; Poaceae. The record is from RNAcentral.